ACUGUGGAGCUCUACGGCAUCUGGCAAAAACAGAAGCUUUGCGUAUCUGCUCCAGAGGGCUGCGGAUCGCCGGAGCUGGGAUGGAGUCAGAACGCAGCCGUACCGUAGUCAGUGAAAAUACACACAUUGACUUUAAUGGAAACCUAAUGACUCCGCCGCCGUUCCAGAGCGGAUCCGCAGACGUUCCGCAACUUGUGGAAAUUAGGACUUAACAUUUCACAUUGU
Etheostoma cragini (Arkansas darter) is the source of this 225-nucleotide long non-coding RNA. RefSeq lists it as uncharacterized. The record is from RefSeq and is a predicted model, not a curated record. The transcript has 3 exons. Lineage: Eukaryota; Metazoa; Chordata; Actinopteri; Perciformes; Percidae.